This 23935-nucleotide long non-coding RNA is filed under the name Nicotiana tabacum (common tobacco). RNAcentral describes it as "long non-coding RNA (NTAB_LNC005633)". The record is from RNAcentral. Lineage: Eukaryota; Viridiplantae; Streptophyta; Magnoliopsida; Solanales; Solanaceae.
UCAAAAUGAUUGUCUACACCUGCAGGCAUGAAUGCAGCAUCCCCAACAAAAGUACAUCAGUACGAAUAAUGUACCGAGUAUGUAAGGUACAUAAAUAAGUAUAUAAAAGACAUGGAAGAAACAUGGAGUAAAUGACUUAACCUGUAAGUUUGGAUAACUCUGUAAAUCAUGAAAUACUUAGUGUCAUGCAUAUGCGUAUGAAUGUCAUGUCGUGCAUAGGUACAUGUAUUCAUAACAUUAUCAAGCCUCUGAGGGCAUCCCAUCAUAUCAUCUCGACCACUAUGGGCAAAAUCAUCAAUGUAUACUAGUUUAUCAGGUGGUGGUGUAUAUAUAAUGCCUUAACCUUUUCCCAUAUCCUAUAUAUAUAUAUGCGUAUAUAAUGCCAUCUGUUCAUGGGUCAGUGUAAAUGAAUGCAAUGCAUGAGGAAUACGUCAAAAUCUUUCGGAGUGUCAUAAGACCAUUUUUCCUGUGGUUAAUAUCAUGAAAUAAACUUUAUCAACUUACGUAUUUUCUAAGACCCAUGAACAAAUGAUAGAAUAAUAUGACACAUGGAGAAUUAAGAACAUAAGCAUCUCUAGUAUUUCUAUGAAUAGAGUCAUUUAUGGAAAUUGUGCAUUUGCUCGUUUUAUUUGUGUCGUAUAGAUCAUGAUAAAAGAAAGAAGGGAUAGCCUUAACAGACCUGAACUGAUUCUCUUGACAAUCCCUCUAACAUACGACAAUCGCGACCAACACGUGACAACAAGAUCGGAGUAGGAAAAAACCCACAUGAUAUUCUUGGGAAAGAUUGCACCGUACUCCCUUAAAAUGGUAACAUCUCACGUUGAGAUGCUAAGAGAUCUUGUUUGAAUUUUUGUUUAAAAAAAGUCAUGUUAUAAGGAUGCUAAUAUGCAAACUUUUGUCUUGAAUUUUCUUAAGUGAAUUAGAGAUGUUAAUGAGAUAUCCACAUCUCUUUAAGUGAAUUAGAGAAGGGGUUUUAAGGUCUUGGUGGUUGUGACGACCCGACCGGUCAUCUUAAGAAUUAACGCCUCAAUCCCCUAUUAACUACUUUCCCCAAGUUUAUUUUGCUAUUUUGAUUUGCCGGGAUGUUCGGUUUUGAGUUUCGGAGAGUUUUGGGACACUUAGUCCCUAAAUGAGAGCUUAAGUGUUGGAAAAGUGACCAUAUUCUGAACAGUGUGGAGACGUCCUUGGAACGGAAAUCCGAUGAUUCCGUUAGCUCUGUUGGGUGAUUUCGGGGUUAGGAGCGUGUUCGGAUUGUGUUUUGGAGGUCCGUAGCUAAUUUAGGCUUGAAAUGCCGAAAGUAGAAUAUUAGAAGUUUCCGGUUCGAUAGUGAGAUUUUGAUCCGAGGGUCGGAAUGGAAUUCCGAGAGUUGCAAUAGUUCCGUUGUAUCAUUUGGGAUGUGUGUGCAAAAUUUCAGGUCAUUCGGACGUGUUUAGGUUGGGUUUUUGAUCAUAAGUGGAAUUUGGAAGAUUUUACAAACUUAUGCUUGAAUCUGAUGUGUUUUGGUUGUUUUGAUGUUGUUUGAGGUGUUUUGAAGAUUGGUACAAGUUUGAUUAAGGUUUUAGGAUAUGUUGAUGCCUUUGGUUGAGGUCCCGGGGGCCUCGGGGUGAUUUCGGAUGGUUAACGAGAAAAUUUAGAAAAUGUUUUAGCUGCUGUAUUUUCGCUGCUUCUGGUAUUUUUGCAUAUGCAGUUUGGGGACCGCAGAAGCGGCUAAGGGACCGCAAAAGUAGAUUUUGGCCUUUCCUUCAGGUUCCGCAGAUGCGGAAGGGACACCGUAAAAGCGGUGUCGCAUCUGCAAAAAUGUAAUCACAGAUGCAGUUUCUGGUAUUUAAGUGAAAGUCGUAGAUGCGACACUUAUUCCGCAGAAGCAGGACUGCAAAUGCGGUCCCAGGGCUGCAAAUGCGGAAAUCGCUGGGCAGAACAUAUAUAAUUUCCUUCACAAAUUUGAGGGAUCCUUUCACCAUUUUCAUCCGGGUUUGAAGCUUUUACGAGAGAUUUUUGAGGAAAACAAACGGGAAUCACUUGGAGGUAACAUCCUUGACUUCAUAACUCGUUUUUAUGUGAUUAAAUACCUAAUUAGUGGUGAGAAAUUUGAGAAAAAUGGGUAAUUAGGGCUUGAGUUUAAGAGGUCUUUAAAUGAAGAUUUGAGGGGUCAUUUGGACUCCGAUUUGUUGUUGUUAUGUAUAGACUCGUGAGAGUACGAGGUUUCUGAAAAUGUAAAUUUCACCCGAUUCCAAGACGUGGGCCCGAGAUGCAUUUUGGUCAUUUUACAUAAUUUCGCAUAUUAGCUUAGAAUUUAAUUGUAGAAUCAGUUACUUGAAGUGUUAUUUACAUUAUACAAUUGAAUUGAAUAGAUUUAGGCCAUUUGGAGUCGAGUACUCGUGGCAAAGACGUGGUGUUGGGUUGAUUUUGAGCAGGUUCGAGGUAAGUGGCCUGUCUAACCUUGUGUGGGGGACCUUCCCCUUGGAUAUGAUAUAUUUGAUAAUUGAAAUGCCUUGUACGUGAGGUGACGAGUGCGUACUUGAGCUAAUUGUUGAAAACCGGUUUUACUUAAAGUAGUUAAAUUGAGUUCCUAUCUUUCCUGUUUUAUUCUACUUGCAAACUUAGCCUGUUGUUAGUUUUGAAAAGCAUGCUUAGUUGACUUAAUUGCAUAUUUGCUUAAACUGCCUUAAUUGCAUUACGUGAAGCAUGUUAGGCUAGAAUUAACUGUUUACUUAGUACCAAAUUAGCAUUUAAUUUAAUAUUCUUGUGUUGCUGCUGUGUGUUUUAAAUUGGGACUACGGGACGGUAUCCCGGGAGAUCCCCUGUACGUAUUGAUGACCUAAACUGAGGUGCUGGAUACCAAGAGAUCCCUAGCACGUAGAUUGAGGUUACCAAGAGAUCCUUGGGAUACCAAGAGAUCCCUGACAUAUAUUGAGGAUACCAAGAGAUCCUCGGGAUACCAAGAGAUCCCUGGCAUAUAUUGAAGAUACCCAGAGAUUCUCGGGAUACCAAGAGAUCCCCGGCAUAUAUUGAGGAUACCAAGAGAUCAUCGGGAUACCAAGAGAUUCCUAGUACAUGUUGAGGAUACUAAGAGAUCCUCGGGAUAUUGAGAGAUCCCCGGUUACUUUCCUUAUGGUUUUCCUUCAUCUCUGUUUCCGUUAUUAUACUCUUAUUAUCUCGUGUAGGUUCUUACUGUAGAUUCUCAAUUGUACUGCUUAUCUUAUCCUAUCAUCUUUAUAUUUAUUUAAUCUCAGUAGGGCCCUGCCCUUCCUCGUCACUACCCAACCGAGGUUAGCCUUGGCACUUACUGAGUACUGCUGUGGUGUACUCAUGCCCCUUCUGCGCAUGUUUUUCAUGUGCAGAUCCAGGUACCUCUACUCAGGCUUACCAUUCUUGAGGUGAGGCGAUUCUACGGGAUUUCAAGGUAUAUCUGCCGCGUCCGCAGACCGAGGAGUCUCUUUCUAUUCCUGCAUUUUAGUAUUUAGCCUUCUGUACUUCUGUUCUUAUUAGACAAAAUUUCGAAGUUAGAGCUAUGUCAUAUUUCUUUUUCUUAGCUUGUGAUUCGUGGGUUUUCGGGUCUUGGAUUUAGAUAUUGGUUUUGAGAUCUAUACAAAUAUGGUACAUGCCGAGCGGCACAUUUAACACUGUUAUUGCCUUAUUUCUGUUUUUAAAUUAUUUUAUUUUCGCAAGUUUUGGUUAUCUCCCGCAAGUUUAGGCUUACCUAGUCAUAGAGACUAGGUGCCAUCACGAUGGUUCACGGAGGUGGAACCGGGGUCGUGACAGUGGUGUGGGCCCCACUUUGAAGAUUUGGCCUCCAAAAUUAAUCUAAUUUUAUUGUCACGACCCAAAACGAUGGGCCGCGAUGGGCACCCGAUACCUUACCCAACUGAGUACCCACAUAACAUAUCUUUUCAUGUCUUACUAUCAUAGAUAACUGAGCUGGAAGGCUGUCAUGAGUUAAGUAGAAUACAACAUGUGAUACCAAUUUAUACAUAAGACAUACGGGCCUAUAAGGCCAAAAUAACCACUCGUAUACUGAACAUAGGCCGACAAGGCCAUACAAUCUUUUACGUACAUGACAUCUGUCUACAAGCCUUUAAGAAUACAUAGUUUUAAUAAAGGUCAGGAUAGAGUCCCGCCAUACCAAAAAAUACACAUCCAAAUCAUACUAACCAAACAAGCAACUCCGAAGCAAAUGGAGCGUACCAACAUCUUCCGCUGAGCUGAUAGCCUACUUGGAGGGAUCUUGACCUGUCUAUCGGGACCUGCAGGCAUGAAAUGCAGCGUCCCCAGGCAAAAUGGACGUCAGUACAAAUAAUGUACCGAGUAUGUAAUGCACAUAAAUAAGUACAUAACAGACAUGGAAGAAAUAUAGAGUAAAUAACUCAACCUGUAAGUCUGGAAAACUUUGUAAAUUAUGAAAUACUUAUAGUUUCAUACAUAUGCAUAUGAAUGUCAUGUCAUGCAUAAGUACAUGUUUCAUAACAUCACCAGCCUCUGAGGGCAUCCCAUCAUAUCAUCUCGACCACUGUGGGCAAAAUCAUCAACGUAUACCAGCUGAUCAGGUGGUGGUACGUAUAUAACGCCAUAACCUUUCCCAUAUCCCAUACACAUACACACACGCACGCACACACACACACAUAGANNNNNNNNNNNNNNNNNNNNNNNNNAAAUAAUAGGACACAUGUGAAUUCAAGAAUAUAGGCACCUCUAAUACUUCUAUGAAUAGAGUCAUUCAUGGAAGUUGUGAAUUUUCUCAUUUUGUUUGUAUCGUACGGAUCAUGCCAAAAAUAAAGAAGGAAUAGCCUUAACAUACUUGGAGUGGGGAAAAAUUCGUAUGAUAUUCUUGGAAAAAGUUACACUAUACUCCUUUAGAAUCGCAAAACUUUACGUUACUACAACUCCAAAAAUUUUUGUUGGAGUUGCUACAGCCCUAACCCAUGUUACUUAAUAUAUAAAAUCUGAUUUGGAUUGUCUUUUGAGGAGGGAAAGUUGAAGAGUUAUCAAAAUGCUCACAUUCUUCAACCUUGAGUAAAGUCUUGUUUUGGAAAUUCUUGGAAUGGAAUUGAAUGCAAGAAAUUGCUCACGUUCUUCAAUCCUUCAUUAAGGUCUUGUUUUGGAAAUUCUUGGAAUGGAAUUGAAUGCAAGAAAAUGCUCACGUUCUCUUCUGAUUGUGAGGUCUUUGGUAUAGUAGGAAUGAGGUUUUGGAAUGAUUGUAGUAUUAUUUUGGUUUUUGAAAGAUUUUUGAAAAUUGAAGUGAUUUGGGUAACAUAUCCUUUUGCCACCUAUCAAGAGUGACUAAGAGUCAUCUCUUUAUGAAGUGGCAUGCUGCCACUUGGGGAUGGGGUGAAAAAUUUAAUCUUUAUCCACUUAUUAGUUAAUUAGGUAAUGUCCUGUUACCCGGUAAUUAAUCAAUUACCUACAUAAUUAAAAGUUGUCUCAAAUUAAUUAAAAUUCUACUUAUUUUUAAUAUACUUUAUACAUCAUACUACCGUGGUAAUAUAGUACCUUGUAUGGCACUAGUCCAUAAAUAUCGAGUAUUUUAGCUCGGGUCGUAUUUUAUCCCAACAUGUGAAACUUGGACAAAAAUUCAUUUUAUUUGACUUGCUUCCCCUCUCACCUUUACGAAUUUACUCAUCACUUGUUUGAAAUAGCAUAAUCCUUAUAAUCUCCAAAUAAUCUUUUCCUUGGACUGAUGUCAAUUACCUUACGACAAAUUUGACGUACAAUACUAUAGGGUACAACAUCGUCGUAAUUUAAUACUGCGAAGCGUAAUACCAACGUAAUGUUACGGGGCAUAACAUUUUCCACCUUGCAUUGUGAUUUAAGAGUCACCAAUAUGCUUUGAUGUGCUUCCACUUGGGAGAUGUAAUUCUUAUCCAAAGAUUUGGAUUAAUUAUCCACUAAUCACUUGAUUAACUUGUUAAUCUUUCAUUAACCAAUAAUUACCCAAUUAUCCACAUAUUUAGGAAUUAUCUCAAAUAACUUAAAAUAAUACUCACUUUUAACAUACUUUAUACACCUUACUAGCAUGGACAUGUACUACCUUGUAUGACACUAGUCCAUAAAUAUCAGGUAUUAUAGCUCGGACCGUAUUUUAUCCCAAAAUAUCAAACUUUGACGAAAUUUCUUUCUUUCGAUUUUCUUACCCUCUCACCUUUACAAAUUUACUCAUCACUUGUUUGAAAUAACAUAAUGCUUGUAAUCUCAAAAUAAUCUCAUUCCCGAACUUACGUCGAUUAACUUACGACGAAACUUUAAUGUACGAAAAUACGGGAUGUAACAUCUCAUUUUACAAGCUUCCAUAAAUUUACUUAUGGCGUACUUUCACGUACAAAAAUAUGGGGUGUAACAUCAUUCCCUCCUUUGGAAUAUUCGUCCUCGAAUGUUGACUGAUGCACUUAUCAUUUUUAUAGCUUAUGUCUUCCCAAUACUUUAGUACUCUCCUUGCCAUCUAGGCAAUUGCUCUGUGAAUAAUUUCAAAAGCCAGGGCAUCCCCCCUUUAGUCUUCUUUCUCACACUACUACUUGUGGUCGUAAUCAUUCCAAUCUCGUAAUUGUUGCUAUCUUCUAUCAUGUAGCCUAUACGACUUUUUCUUUGUAUGUGCACCUACGCAAAUGUUCCCCGCAGCUUUUAGCCAAUCUCUAAGCCUUACUUUGGGAAUAUAUACAGAACUUGACAAGAUGUCCUUUUGGGAAUCUAUAGGUGUACAGAAGUUCUUUGCUUGAUACUUUGUCGAACUUACGACUAUUGCUAUAUCUUGUUUCAUAGCCCCGGUUAUCCAUCCGUGUGACUUUACUGCAUCUAGAUAGGUCAUACUAUACUAUAACUCUUACUUCGAUUUAUCAUUGUUGAGCUCUGCUACUAAACUCUAGGUUACGUUCGUUGCUUAUUCCAUAUGUAUAAAUCUAUGUCCUUUAAUGCUUCAUUAUUACCGUUCAUCUUAAGAAUGAUGGCCUAAUCUCAUCUCAUACUUUGUGGCUUUUAUCCAUCCAUUGUUGAUUUACAUCAAUGUUGAUCUACAAUCUACCACUGAUAUCUUGAAACUUCUUACGUAAUACAUUGCCACUAGGGCUCUCGUCUCAUCGGGGAACAUCUGAAGUAACUUGCCUAAUCCACCUAGGAGCGAUACUAUACUUCAAUAACCGUAUUUCAUAAUAUCCCAAUGUGAUUCAUCUUAUGGGUGGGGAUAUUUUAAUCCUGUGCCGUCCAUGAAAUCCUUAUUUAAUUUUUCUUCAAAUUACUACUCAAUCGAAGGCCCAAACAUCAUCCUUUAUCUGUCACAAUUACAGCCUUAUUCUACUACCAGGACAACAUUCUAUCUCUUCUGAAUGCUAUUAGUCUUAGACCCCUUUGAGUUCAUUCAGGCUAUACUGAGCUUUCUAAAACUUAGAGAAACCAUUAGCUCUCUUGUUUUCCUGGGCUUAACCCCGAGGACUUAUCCAUUCUCGUCACCUUCUUACUCUCCCUUUCUUUAUCCUUGCUCCUAUCUUUCUAAAACCUUGUCGCUUUACUAUACUUUAGCUUGCGACCUACACAUAUCCAUUUAUACUACUCGCAACCUUCCUUCAACUUGCUUGCAUCAUUGAUUUCCUUAUGUCAUCCUGGAACAUCAAGCGAGACACCAUAUCGUCUCUAACUCUUCUUUACUCUCUUGACUAGGCCUCUCGAUACCUGGAAACCAUAGGCUGGAAGAUAAGCCACUGACGACGCCACUAUCAUUCCUAGAUACUGAAUCCUAGUGCUUCUAGCCUUCUAUCCGAAGUGUGGACUACUCACAACCUUCUGCACUUGAGUAUCUCCUAUGUUGUUCACCUUUACCUUACUUGCCUUAAAAUCUUGCUUCACCUCUUCUAUUCCUUUCAUAACCUCCCUUCCACAUAGGUAUAAUUCACCUCCAAACUUGAAGCUCUAUUAUAAUACUUGCACCUUUGGUGCACACAUAAUCCGGUGGGAGCUUCAUACUGACUUCUUAUGAGGCUGGUACUCUUUUAACUGGCUUUAUCAUAGAGCCAUUAUAGAAUAUGGCUAUUGUACUAUCUCUCUUGUACCUCCGAUAUUAAGAGUGAUUCUGCAAUGUUCUCAAUCAUGAUUUCUAUAAUUAUUUUGGGUCCAAUAAUAAGACUCCUGAUUUACUUAGUUGAUGUAACUCUUUAGUUUCCUCUUCCAUCUGAUCAACCUUUUUGUAAGCUUAAGUUAAUUUCCUAUCUGCAGCUCAUGGUAUUAGUUAUUACUUUAGCCUUUCAUGGACACUAUGGAAUAUUUGUGAUACCAUCAUCUAACAAUUCAAUCCUUUGUCUAUGACCUGGGCUCAAUUCUUUCUUUUAACUUAUACCAGAGUCUUCUAUGGCUGUAUGAUUGUCAAUAUAUAUGCUGCAUGGAUAAUACUCCAAAAUCUUGUGUGUACCCAUAACGUACUAACUCUAGAUCAUUGAUCGAAUAAUUCCUUUCGUUCCAUCUCAACUUUCUUUAAAUGUAUGCAAUUACUUUUUCUGGUCUUUCUGCCCCUUGUUGCAUGCAUACUUAACUUAUCCUAGUUCCCACGCAUGCCAGAAUUUUUGUGCAACUCAUAUGGUCUUGAAUAUUACCUUCAAUAUUUCUCCCCGUUCAUUAGCCACGGUAGGUGCCACUUUUUUUUGGAGUGCAUACAAUUUUUUUGUGAGACUGUUUUUUUUACAUGACCAUUUCCUCUUUAGGUCACUAAGCUUAGGUUGAAGUCUUCUUCCUUGUUUUCUCAGCUAGUUUUUUUUUGUGGUACUUAGGGAGGACCCUCCGGCUCUUAUAAAGCUGCGAGCUUAUUAUAUCGUAUACUCGAUGGACCUUUUGGCGUCCUUCCUUGCCUAUAAUUAUCUGUAGUUACUUACCUGCACACCCUUAUGCUUGUAGGGCUUCUUCUGAACUGAUAUUUUGACUGUCUUCCAGUGGCACACUCUUUCAAUCCCGUAACAUUCAUACGAUACCUUUAACUACUCCAACUCCUAUCUGAAUAUUUCUCAAGUAUUACAAUGACAUUACUGCGAGACUAAAUUCACUAUAUUGGGUUUUACUAUGUUUAUCUUGCACGAUCUGCUGAUUCAUCUUUAACCUCCUCUUUAGCCAUAACUAGGCUCUUACCGAAUCAACUACUAUCUACUCGUUGGCCCAUUCUUAUAUCAAUGUUUCUUGUUAUCUUUCUUGGGUUAUUUCCUUUGUCUUAAUGUACGUCUCGCAUUGGCUCCUUAUCUAUCAAUAACAUCUCAGGCAGGGACCCAUGCUUCCUCUCCUUGACGUCAUGUUUGCAUAGUGUUCUGGAAUCAUAGCGUAUCAAUAGGAUUUGAGUAAGUGUAAUCUCAUUCUUUUUUUGAUUUUACCACAUUCUUCCUUUACCAUUACAUGAUUACUAGAACCACUUAAUUCUAACUUAAUCCCACAUCACUCCAUAUUCCCCCCCUUUUGGGGAGUACAAAGAUUUAGCACUACGACGAUCUACUACCUCUUCAGCCUUGGGGUCUUAUCACAUCAUCGAUGACCGUUACUCGCCUUACGGUAAUCCUUCUGUACCAAGAAAAUGAAAUUCCUUACUCGCGAGGGUGGCACUUUAGUGUAACUAACACAUAUAGUCCCUUAAGCUUAACUUUGCUCACAUUGCUUGCUUUAGGGAAGCGUCUUUCUGAAUGACCAUUCUCUGAAUCUCUCAUGAAUCUUCUUCUGUUGUCCAUGCUAUUAUCGCCAGAACGAAAUCUAAAACUCUCAUGAUGUCGACUAUUAUCUAAUCACUCAGUCCCUAAUUCACGUUUAGUUUAUCUUGUUCACCAGCCCAUACUAAUUUCUAUUAUUCUGGAGUCUAACUUUUCCUUCUGGUAAUCAUGUUAGAGUCAUGAACUUAUUUCUUAAAAUGAGGAUAUGACUUUAUGGCCUAUACUCUCUUGUUGUCUUAAGGCCUGUGACUUCUCGUCUUUUCCUUCACUUGACUAUAGACUUUAUAAUACUGUCAUUUUUUUAUCUAUCGUUGUCAUCCACGUGUCACAUCUUACUCAUAAUGCUUCAUUAACUCCUUUCUUAUUUCCUGCUAACAUUUAUGUCUAUCACUUGAUUCUGUAAACUUCAACAAGCUAUUCCUUUGCUUUUAGUUCCCCUUUGCUCCAUCCAUUGGCUAUUCGGGUUGCCUAACAUUGCCUCUCUACUAGGGACGGGAGCCAUACUAAGAUAAUAUUUAUCCCUUCCAGGAUUUUGGUGCCUAUCUUUGUAGUACCCAUAUCCAGCUGUACUAUUUUAGGGUGCACCAUAUGGGUGUCUCACAAGGAGAUCAACUAGUACAUUUGCAAUAUCCUUCGGAAAUGUCAAUUAAUGCAAACAAUCCAUCCACCAUUUUGGGUCACUCUUAUCCUGAUAUCCAUCUUUCUCUUAUACUACUUAUGUUAUUCCCCAUGGGGCUUAAAUGAGAUGGGUGUGCCAAUUGUACAUACCUUUGUUAUUGUUGAAGGUAACUCAAAAGUCUUAUUUUCCUCUACCUAAAUUGUUAAUACUGAUAAUCUUCAUUAACUGGGCGCCUCGUACCCUUCUUCAACUUACUUCUUUCACUUGUUGAAACUUGUAUAUACCUUCUGAAUCUCUCAUUACUUUUCACCAUAUGGGUGGAUAGAUAUUCUUACCUUAAGGUUCUUUGUCAAGAAGCUUACACGUCUUAGUACACAAUUGUUCUAUUGAAUACCUCAUAUUUAUCCAUCAUAAUCAUGAUGCAAAAAAUCGAGUUCCUUUGACUCAACUCUUCCACAACUAUAUCUCUUACCAACCGUUUUUCUGGACGUAGGUAUCGUCGUAUUAUGAAUAAGAUAGAGUUUAGGAAAUUGAGUUCUUACAAUAGAGCUCUACCACAUGAUCUAGAGUAAGAAGAAAGAGUGACAAUCCUAAAUUCCCUGUAGCCUCCUACUUAUAAGUGUGGUGCACAACACACCCAUAAACAAGACUCUACUAGACAUGGCUUGUAGACUCCCUAUGAUAGAACUGCUCUGAUACCACUUUUGUCGUGACAUACAUCGAAGGUUCAUGACGGGCAUCCGGUUCCAUACUUUAUCGAGUACCAACAUAAUAUAUUUUUCUUAUCAUACUAUCACUGGUAACUGUCACACCUCCUUUUUACCACCCCGGAAGGGGUAUAUAGGGAGUUUUUUCCAAUUUAAGUGACAGUCGAAACAUGAUUAUUUUAUUUAAAAUUCAGAGUCACCACUUGGGAUAAUUUAUGGUGUCCCAAGUCACCGGUUUAAAAUCCCAAAUCGAGGAAAUUGACUCUAUUUACGGUCUGCGAACACAGAAAUCUAGGUAAGGAAUUCUGUUAACCCGAAAGAAGGUGUUAGGCAUUCCCGGAUUCCGUAGUUUUAGCACGGUCGCUUUGAUCAUAUUUGGCUUAUUAAAUUGUUUAACUACUCAUUUUAGAACCUAUGUGCUUUCACUUCUUUUAAUUAAGAAAUUACCUUAAAACAGGUCACGCGCACGUGUACCCAUUUGUUUGGAGCGUAAAAAAUCAUAUCAUACGUACAUGUCCACGAUCAAUCAUGCUUUAUUAUUAUUAAGAAAUUUUGGUCGAAGUUGCACGAACGCAUGCCCCAAUUUUGUUUUAGGAUCGCAAUUAUGUCACGCGAAGGUGUACACAAUCAAUAAUAUUUUAUUACUAUUAAAUUUGUUUCGCCCAAAGUUGCGCGAACGCAUACUUCGGUCUUAAUUUUGGAACCCAUAAUUAUGCCACUCAGAUGCCAAAAAUACAUACUACUAGGCACUAGCGAAUCUAUAUAGUCAAAAAUACAAAUAAAAGUAAAAUGAAAUACAUCACAUUUGAAUUAAUCAAACCACUUAUUAUCAAUUGUAAAUGUCGAGGUCAUGAGCUACUGAUAUCUUACUAUUGCCAUGCUACUUUAAUUUUGCAGUGUUAGCUUGUCACUUUUCUUCUCCGAAUAAUAAAUUCUUAAACCACAAGUAAGAGAAAAAUGGACCUCCCACAACACAUUCAAACCAGAUUUCACUCCUAAGCCACUUUAACAUUUCCUACAGUCUUCACGUCGAAGAACGCUAGCUUGUUGGUUUUAAUCAUAAAUGAUGUCGUGUUAUAAACAACUAAAAAAACUUAUUAGGCAUGAGAAAGUGACUAAAAUUGCACACAAUUGCUAGCUAGGUCUUUCCUUCUCACUCGACGCAUGAAAUAUGGACUAAGCAAACUUAAACCAACAACGAUUUGACUAGUGUACUCAAUGAACUCUAUCAGCUCGUAACAAUUCCCAAACUAAGAAUGAAUCACCAUAUAAACAUAUAAGCAGUGCACGAGUAAUAUAAUCUCAGCAACAUUAUACAUCAAGCUAUGCGCGAAAUAAAGAUCUAAAGUAGAAAAUGAACCUUGAGUGAAGCAAUAACAGACUUGGAAUAUACAGAGGAACUUCAUAGAGGCUGGAAUAACAGCUACUACAAUAUGAUAGAUCCGCAAUGAAAAACCUCAUCAGAACCACGGACGGAACCUCGUCGUGAACUCAAACCACUCAAACAAAUUCCACUCCGGAGGAUCGAAAAUCCGAAACUAGGGAGAUGAAACAGUAUUUUUAAAUCAUACUCGUACUCGAGGCGUAAAAAUGGGGACCGGUCAGAUCUACAAUUGUUCCGGUAAACAAACAAGACCAUGUCUCAAAGCAGCUUUAAAGCUAAGCUGAAGAUAGUAGCAACAGUAACCAACUAAAUGUUGAAAUGAAGAUGAAGCUCGACUUAAAUUGAGCUUUUCAAUUAACGAGAACCUCUAACGUUACAUAUUCGGUUUGGAUACGAAAUUCCUAUAGCCUAUGACGAUGACUAGAACCUGAACCGUGUACGCCGACGAACUUUGGACUUUGACUUCAAACGGACUCAAAUCCAGACCUCAAACUUACCGGAGUCAGUGACGCUACUACCACGACGAUGAUGACACUGUUAGAUCUAAAACCAUCCGACAUAGAAGUGAAGAACACGAGAAUAGUGGUGAUGAAACAGUCGCCAAAUUAGUUUUCCGGUCAGAUCGAAACCAAAAUUUCCGGCCAGACCAUGAUUGAAACGACAGUAGAGGUGAGGAGAUCAGGAGUUCAGGGUUUGGGAUGUCUUUGUGUUGAACGGCGGGUUCUUCAAUAAAAGGGGUGAUAUGAAGAAAAAGAAUAUAUUCAGGGGGGGUCAUUUGGUGUUCUGCGGUGGAUGUUUAUUUUACUUUAGGUCUAGGUCUUUUUUUAGCUGAUCCCUCUCUAGGUUAGAAUGUUAUCUAUAUCUAGAAUUAAUUAGGUUUUUAGGGUGUUGGGUUUAAUGGGUUUUUGGGCUUUAAAAUUGAAAUUGGGUUGGGUCCAUGUCUUAUUGGGUCUUAAUUUUGGGCUAAGAAGACUAAAAUAUAAAAAUAUAAAAUUUACUCUUAAUUAAUUAGAACACACUACUAAAAUAAAACUAGAUAUUAAAAGUGCAACUAUUUGUUUUGUAUUUUCAAGAUUACAUAAAGAUAAAAGUAAGGUACUACUUUUGUAUUUUUUUUAAUUUUAUGAAAGAUACAUAAAAUAAUAUAUAUUUUUAUUUUUUAUUUUUGUGACGAAAUAAAGUAAAAGAGUCAAAAUUAGUUAAAAUAGCGAUAUUAAGCCUAAACUAAAUAUUUACAUGCUAAAAUAUAAAAAAUCUUGGGGCGGGUCAAAAAUCACAUGUCUACAGUAACUGGGCCAAUAUGGCGACAACUCGUAAUGUAUAACUAUAAGUGGGAAAACACUGUAUCAAUGAACCAUCUUUCUUAAAAUAUGAAUACAUAUGGGCCGUCAAGGCCUCUGACAUACUGUACAAAAUGUUACUCUGUCUAACAAGCCUCUAAGAGUAUUUGACAUCAAAUGGGACAGGGUACCAACCUACCCAUAAGUCUAUAACACAAUUCUGACAUGAUGACUCAUAGACUCGGCUGCACUCCGAAUGAGGUGGAGUCUUACUGAUCCUUCGCGGAAUACUAACCUCGUCUACUAUGAGGGAUCAUCAAACUGAUUGUCUAUACCUACAGGCAUGGAUGCAGUGUCCCCAACAAAAGGACGUCAGUACGAAAAAUGUACCGAGUAUGUAAGGCACAUAAAUAAGUAUAUAAAAGACAUGGAAGAAACAUGGAGUAAAUGACUUAACCUGUAAGUCUUGAUAACUCUAUAAAUCAUGAAAUACUUAUAGUGUCAUGCAUAUGCGUAUGAAUGUCAUGUCGUGCAUAGGUACAUGUAUUCAUAACAUCAUCAAGCCUCUGAGGCAUCCUAUCAUAUCAUUGUUUACCUUGAAAAUGGUAAUAACAAUUAGAUUUGAUUUUCUGGUUCUAAAAAUAUGUGAUAUGUUUUUAUGCUAGUUGUUAGGCAAUAGAUGCUAAGUGAAAGAUUAGAAAAAAUAAGAUAAUAGCUUAUAGAUAGUAUAAUAACCAAACAGAAUGGCUUAAAAUCGAAGCCUCGAGCUUGUGUCUAUGGGGCCUCAAGGUUGAGUUGGGUGCCCGGCUAAGGACAAUCGACGUAGGAUUAACAGUUAUGAUAAAUUCGAUGGUGGCUCUUUAUGAUCGAAAUGAGCUAUAAAUGAAGAACAAUAAAUAGAACACAAUGAAUGUAAGUAAUAAAUGUACGUAGUGAGAUCAAGAGAAUAUGUUAAGUUAGGGAGCAGAGAGAAUAUUCUUGUAUAUCAAUAUUGUGUAUUAGACCCCCCUACAAAAUGGCAAGGAUCCCCUUUAUAUAUGAGGGGGAAUCCCAAUAUAGUUCAAAUGCAUUUAUUACAAAGAUAUGGGAUUGAUACAACCAUUUAAUGCCGUGAUACGGGUUUGAACUAGCCUAAUAGACUUUGUUAGCUCUAGUCACGUGCCUUGGGAACCUCACAUCGAUCCCCCUAGCCACUGGUUUACAUUGCCUCGAGGCUGAUCAUUGUUUACACUGCCACGAGAUCGAUCACUGAGAACCCACGGGGUCGAAACCCGAGCUGAUCUUCGAGCCUUCUAGGGGUUGUCUUUACGAGGCACCUUAAUUAUCAUAAAAUUGGACCACUGAUUUUUACCGUAUACAGAUAGUCCCCGCAUUUCUUAGAGUGAAACGAUAAGAAAUGACUUUGAUAUCUAUCUCCUCGAGUUUUCCGUGAUGAUGUCAUACUUAUGACGUAAGCCUUCGUGAUAACUAGAGCGUCCCAUUGGUUCGUCUUUCCAGAAUCAUUCAAGGUACCGCCAGUUUAUAUUUUUCAAAGAGAAAAUAUCGCCGCCGGUCCAUUUCCCAAAAAUGCAUUAAUUGCACCUGUAGGUACUUUUUCCAAAGACAUUGAUUAUGCCGUCGGUUACGCUUCCACCCUUUCUAUAAAUGGAAGUUUUCUUGAACCAAAACUUCAUUCAAACAUUCCUCAACAGCCUUUUACUCCUCUCUUUUCUUCAUCCUCACCCAACGCUAUUUCCAAUGUUUGAAGCCCGUGGCCAUAAGGUCAUACGGUAGGGUACUCAUCAGUUAUGUCAUGGACCUUUCGCAGAGCUUUCCCCUACUGAGUGGGAUUGCACUGGUUUGUUGUUGUUGGCCCAAAAUAAUGAGAGAGAAAUCUCAAAUUAUCUUCGCAUUAAAGGAUAUGCAGACUAUGAACUUUUACUCAUCUCUCUUAAUUACCCGAUGUGGCACUUCACUCUUUUUGCUUUUCGUGGAGUGAGGUGGUACCAUCUACUAACUGUUGCAUCCCACACCGGCGCAAUGACUCAAGAAGUGGCUUCACAAUAGUAGUGCUGGCGAGACCUAUACUCGCCAGAUUUUUCACCUAGCCACUUCUUUAUUUUUUUCUACUUCUUUAUCUUUUUCUGCUUCUUCUUCAUCUUUUUCUUCUUCUUCUUCUUCUUAUUCAUUGUUUUCUACUUCUUCUUCAAUCUUGAAAAUACCGUUUGAAAGACCGAGAUGAGGCCCCCAAGGAAAUGGUUCCCGAAGAUACUGCCCCCGAGGAUGUAUCCUCGAGAGCAGAUUAGGCUUGUAGCUGUUAUAUGUAUAUAUUUUUUGGCUUUUGUUUCUGCGUAAGGACCCUUCAUGGGCUUUUGUAAUCAUUGUUUACUAAUGAAAAGGUGUUUCUUCAAUUUUAUACCUGAUUUAUGCUGAAUUUCCUUUUAUUUACAUUUGCGAAGAAUCUGAGUUCAUGACCCUACCGAUCAGUCCGAAUACCGGGCUUGGGGUGUAGGUAUUUCCCCCAUUCCUGAUUAGUUAAUACGAUAUCCCGUGGAGCCCUUUAUCGUUCCUCGGUUUGAGCCCAGAUUGAAUUGAUACAAGCUUAGGCCGCCAGGACUCCCGACUUCGAGUUGAGUGAGAGUAAGGCUUCGAAUUUUUAGAAUGAAACUUAGCCUUUCAGACCCCAUCGAUAGUCCUCGAGGGGGAAUUUGCUCGGACGCCUGAGAAUAAAGAUAGCCCUUUGGCUUUCGAAGGCAGUCCCCGAGUGAGAGUUCGCUCAAGCUUGGGCGACCUGAAAAUUUGUUUUGAACUUAGAGCGAUAAUAGCCUUAAGGCGUUAUAGAUAGAUCCCGAAUGAGGGUAUGCCUGGACUCAGAUAGCCCCUGGAUUAAAGUAACCGAGAGGACAUUUAACUUGAUCCGAAGGCGAGAAAUAGCCCUAAGUGUUUAUUAGUAGUUUUUGAGUGAAAAUUAGCUCGGGAUCAGGUAGCUCAAGGGCCAGAGGAUCGGGUAAAUGACCCGCAUUUGCAAUAGCAAAAAUCCUCGAGGUAGGGUACCACCUUGAGGUUAGGGCCGUAUGAGUAGAUUUUUAGAGCUUAUAUUCUUUUUGAUAGAGGUCCUCGAGAUCGGGUACCAUCUUGAGGCUUGUAAUGAUAUCAAUGGCUCCUUAGAGCCUAUCUUCUUCUUGACAAAGAUCCUUGAGAUCAGGUACCAUCUCGACGCUUGUUGAUGCGAGGGUCUUUGAUCCCCAAAACAUCGUACGACAACGUUAAUUGCAUGACAUAGUUAUGAAACGACCGAGGCAAUCCCACUGGUACACCUUACCAAAGCAAAAAUGGCUUAGUCAGUAUUUUUAAUUGGCCUUUGAGGCAGGCGGACAAUCACCGCUUUCUCUAUAUAUAGGGUUGUCUUUCCUCCUUUAAGGAUUCUUCUAUUUUGAGUAGUUAUCCUCAUUCAUAAAGUUCUUCUUUCCUGUGUUAGGUCCUUCACCAUUUCAACUUUGAAGCCCCUGCUCAAAUUCCCUAGUUUUACUACAGUUGUGGCUGCUACGCCAGGGUCCGCUUGACAAGAGGAAGCGAGUUACGCCUUUGGUUCCCGCCUGGUUGGUGGUGCGCCGCUGGUGCUAGGCGAGCCAUCCUCAGGACAUUUUGUUUCGAGGGGGAACUUUCCAUCAGAAAAAACCUCCCAAUGUUCGAGGUCAUUGGGAGUAUGCCUCGAAGUUUAUUUCUUUAAUAGGAGAGGGGCACCUUGAGUUAGUGAGGAAAGAUUGUGGAUGGGGGGAAAAGGUAGUACUGCGUGUACCUUCCCUAGAUGAGAGCAUCAUGGAUCAUGCCGAGGGUCUUUUGAACGUAUACACAUACCCUUUUAUGCUGGGCCUCCUUGAUAGGGUCAUGCUCGGCUUCUAUAGAGAGUACCAGGUUGCCUUGGCACAGGUUCAUCCGUCAUUUUGGAGGAUAGUAUUGAUGAUGAGGUUAUUUGCGGGAGAAGAAGGGCUUAACUUCACCUUAGUCAUCUCAUCAGGUUGUACCAGCCUUUUCACUAUCGAGGUCUGCUAACCCUACGAUGCCGAUCCACCACGCCCUUCGUUGUCGAUAAUGAAGAAGAUGGGGAUCGGGGCUGGAUGAGCCGAUUCAUCUGAGUAUGGACUAUUGAUAUUAUCCACGCGGAGUUUCUGCCAUUUCCUGAGGAAUGAAAUUUUACACUUAAGUGGUACACUUGUACCUUCGUUGUUUUGCUUAUGGGGGAGGCGUGCUCCGUAAAUGCGCCUUUCUUUCCCUUUCUAUAGCAAUUCCAUGGAUGCCAUACGAGGUCCCUGACCUGAUGAAUUGGGCUUGCAAGUUGGCGGCCCACUCGACUUACGAUGAGCGUAAGUGGUGAGCCUUGUCUAAUGGUAUAUGGGAGGCAAAACACCACAGUAUGUGCUAUGUGAUUUGCUCUUUUUUUGAAAGGCACUUUCUUUUUAUGCGUACUAACUCCAUCAUCGUAGGCAUUGGGGAGUUCUUUGAGGUGAGAUCAUGCCUUCUCGGAGAGGGAGAAGGACCGUCAGCUUUGGGGCCGAGGGACAAUAAUAAUAAGCAGGAAGGGCCUUCGCAGAGCAACGGUGAUUAUAGUAAGACGAGUCCAGCCCGGAGGCUCAGAGAGGGUGUAUCAACUGAGCCUACAGCGUCCGAGAUCUCUAGUUUCAGAAAAACAAUCCCUCAUCUGCUGCCGUCUUCUUUUCUAGUCGAAGGUACCUCGAGGAACUAGGGUUCUCUACUGCCGACUUCUUCUCCCGUCAAAGGCACUUCGAGGGAUGUUCAAAGCCAGGGGCCGCAUAUAUCGAGCGAUUGUAUCCCAACCUAGAGUAGUUCUAUUGGGGUUAGUGGAGUCAAACUAGUAGAUACACGCUCAACUUUUGAGGAAGCUCAGCGGCUCUACUCUGUGGUGAGUUUUGGCCAAUCGUAUUGGUUGUAUAAUUUUUGUAAUUUUUACUCUCUUAUCGAGUGUCUCCUUCAUAGGCUUUUAACAAGCUCAAGUCUGAGCUGCUUUAUCAUGAGACCAAGCUGUGAAAAGCCGUUGAUGGGGAGAAAUCCCUCAGGCUUCUUUGCGAUGAAAGGGAAGACGAGUUGGAACACUUGCGAUAUGAGGCGAGUCGAAGUCUGAACUACGAAAGCUACCUCGAGGAGCAGGUAAUUUUUGUUUCAAGGGAGUGUGUGUUUCUUCUUCUAUCUUCUGAGGCUAAUGUUUUGUUUACUUCAGUUUCAGAAAAAGACGGAAGACCUGGAAUGCCUUUGGAGUGAAGUUGUCAAGCCAAGCGUAAGCGUGUUGAGCUAAGGCUCGGGUGGACACCCAGGUUGUGGCUAAGAAGGAUUCUCUGGCCAAGGGUUUCGCCCUCCAAGUGAAACUUUGCAACACUCAUGAGAACAACUUGGUCCGAAUGGACAUGAUUUCAAGGCUCGAGUCUGAGCUUGUGAAUAUGAAGGCUGAAGUUAUGGAUGCCCAGGCUGAAGCUGAAGCAAUCCGAACUAAGGCUGAUAAGAAAGUGGUCGUCUAUUUGAAGGACGCUGCCAACGCUCGUACUAAGCUGAGAGGGGAUCUCGACCAGGAGAGUAGGAGCAAAGAGUAUGUUAGGUGUAAAUCUUAGAGGGAAACCCUCGAGGAGAUCCAUGCCAAGGUCUUUGAUCUCUCAGAAGAGAUAAAGCAGGCGGAGGUAGACGAAUAUGAUGCUAAGUUCCUUUUGUUCGAUGCUAAAGAUAGAGAGAAAGAGGCCGACGGGCCAUAGUCCCCACGGGGGACGUAAAUUAGGCCUUGCUUUUCUGAUUUUAUGUAUAGUGUUUUUAAAGAACAUGGAGCUUUGUAUUUUUUCACAUGUACGUUUAUAAAAGGAAGCCUUGCAGUUUCAUUUUUUACGCACUUCCCUUUGCUUUGACGUUUGUCAGUCAUUAGCCAUAUUGAACUGGUCUUCGAGUUAAAAGGAACCCUUAGGUUUGUAGUACAACCCUGGGGCUCGUGGGGCUGGCCAAUAGGCUCUUACGCAUUUGGUCGGUACGACCUAUUAGCAUGAGCCGACAUUUGAGCUCUUAAGCUUUACUCUUAGGUAUAUUCAGUUAACUGUUUUGAGUUCAGUCUUCGAGUCGGAUUUAGACUCGAGCUCAUUGACCCUUAAGUUUUUGAAUUUAAAGCUGGCCUUUAGGCUCUUAUGCGUUAGGUUGGUACGACCUUUUAUAUGGGUUGGAGACAGUGGCUCUUACGCAUUGGGUUAGUACAACCCUUUAUAUGGGCUGGCGAUAGUGGCUCUUACGCAUUGGGUUGGUACGACACUUUAUAUGGGCUGACGAUAGUGGCUCUUACGCAUUGGGUCAGUACAACCUCUAAUAUAGGCUUUAUUUUUCCAUUGUUAAGGACUUUUUGAAAUUGUGUUUGCCUGACUCUUCGACGGUUCGAUAAAAACCUCAAUUGUGAGUCGUUAUGUGGCGAUGAGAACCUUGGGAGGUUUUGCUCGGUGGCUCAGUGUUUGAAGCCUAUAAUUUGGAGCUGACAUGGUCGAAGCUCUUUUGCCUAUGUCGAGGGUAGCCUGUUUAACCGGUUCUUUUCAAAGUAUUUUCAAAGUAAUUGAAGGCCAGUGAUUUUAUAGUGAUGAUCGGGCAUCCCCGAGUCACAUUAGUUUGGCUGGUACAGCCUUGUGACCGUAGUCAUUGUGUUUGACUGGAGCCUUUUAGUCCCCCAGUGAAGUAGUUUCAGCAUCUGUAUCGAGGGUAUGCCUUUUUAGGGGUCUUACAAGGUCGAAUAUAUAGCCUUAACUUUAAGGUCGGGAUAAUGCCUUUUUGUAAGAUCUUAUAAUUUUUACAUGCCUUUGAGGUCUUACAGUUUUGGUUACUUGGUACAAGUAUGGUUCAUGCCUUGCUUGAGGUCUUAGAGUUUUGGUUACUUGGUACACGUAUGGUUCAUGCCUUGCUUGAGGUCUUACAGUUUUUGGUGUUGCCUUAUAAAGGUCUUACGAGGUUGAGGUUGGCCGUACGGGGUCUUAUGGCCUCGGCAGUCCCUGAGACAUUGAAAGUUUUCUUGGCUCUGGAGCCAUUUUUGUAUACUUGAUGUUGCCAUAUUGAGGGCUUACGAGCUUGAAGCUUCUGACCAGGGGGUCAUACGGUUUUGAGUUUUUGACGUCAGUUCCCGAGUGUUCGGGAUGUUUUUGGCUCUAGAGCCAUUUUUUGUAAAAAAUACCAAACUCCUUUGAAACGCGAAAUGCUUUGAUGGAGGGGAAAGUAUUAUUUGAUUACUUAGUACAAGCAUACACGUUUUGCUGUUAAGGGAUCGAUUAUUCUAUACAGACACAGUUCGUUCGACUAUUUGGCCUGAUACAUCAUUUUCCUAUCGAGACCCCAUUUAGCACGUCUUGCCUUCUAUGAGGAGGUGACCUUCAGGGGGGAUGCCCCCUAGUAUUCGAGGUUGAUUGAAGAGAAGCCUUGAAUACUUGAUGAGUCUUCCUUAGGUAGCAUAUGGAUGUUGCCUCAUUAAAAACCUUGCCGGUAAAACCCUUCUUGGGAUAAAAACCAGGUCGAAGGAAAAGAGUACAACAUAUGCUUUUUGAACCUAAGGCCUUCGAGUUGGAAAGCACUUCGGAUUUCGAUCGGAUACUUGCACUCAGGUUAGUAUAAAAUAUAACUACUAAAAAUAAUGAGAUGAUCAUACCUUAGUGCUAACGGCACUUCGGUCCUCGAUAUGUUUCAAUCGAUUGUUCUGAGGACGCGGUACGGUCCUUUUCUUUGUUAAGUCAGGUGUAGAUGAGAAUAUAGCUUGUUAUUGCUAUUUUACUGUUUGCUUAUCCUUUGGCUCCCUUGACGGUGGAGGUAUUGGCGCCAGUGCCACAUCGUGCACCGCAAACAUCUCUUUUGCUGCAUGUUGUUCCCCGUAGAUGGUUUUUAUCCCACCCUUUGUCAUAAAUUUCAUCAUUUGAUGGAGGGUGGAUGGUACUGCUCUCAUGCAGUGUAUCCACGACCUUCCGAGCAAUGUGUUGUCCCUCAUGUCUCCUUCGAUGACAUGGAGUUUGGCAUUUUGGAUAGUGCCGACCACGUUGACCGGGAGGGUGAUUUCUGAUUUCGUUGUUUUGCUCGCCAUGUUGAACCUGUUGAGGACUCGAGAAGCGGGCACGAUUUGGUUAAGCUGUCUGAGCUGCUCCAUCACCCUCGACCUGAUAAUAUUGGUCGAGAUACCUGGAUCCACAAGUACAUGUUUAAUUUGAAAUGUAUUCACAAGAAAAGAGAUAACCAAUGCGUCGUUAUAAGGCUGAGACAAGGUCUCGAUGUCAUCGUUGCUUAAGGUGCGAGCAUCCUCGGGUAUGUAACCUUGAGUUCGCUUUUCCCUGGUGAUGGAUAUUUUUGUUCUCCUGAUCAUGGGUUCUUAUGGAUCAUCGAUGCCUCCUAAGAUCAUGUGGAUGACAUGUUGUGGCUCAUUUGUUUCAUUCUUCUUGGUCGCCUCUCUUUCCGGAACUAAUUUUUGGCUCGAUUGCUAAGGAAUUCUCGGAGGUGACCUUUGCUGAGUAGUCGGGCUACUUCUUCCCGUAGUUUUCGGCAAUCCUAGGUUCUGUGACUGUGUGUGCCAUGAAAUUCCCACACUAAGUUAUGGUUCCUUUGCGAAGGAUCUAAUUGUAUAGGCCUUGGCCACCUGGUGUCUCUGAUUUUACUGAUGGCGAAUACGAUAUCUGAAAUAUCGACGUUGAAGUUGUAUUCCGACAAGCGAGGUGCCUCCGUUGGCCCUGUGUGCCUGUCGAACCCAGCUCUGUUAACGAGUCCCUAAGGAUUCUAGCCUUGAUCCAUCCUUUGGUCAUUAUGGGGUAUGUUGCGCCCUGGGGCGUUUCUUCUAUCUUCAGUGUAUGGUUGGUAUCUUUCUUUGAUAGGCUUUGUCUCCUUUUCUGGAAGCCUGCUAGGAUAUACCGAGCCCGAGGGGGCUCCUAGUUGGUCGUCUUCAACUCUAAUCUUUGAUUGGUAUCGUUUGUGGACGUCCGACUAAGUCACAACGGGAUAUUCGACUAAGUUCGGCUUCAGCUGCUUCGAAGCUACCGAGCUUCGCUCGUUCAAGCCUUGAGUGAAGUCCUGCACUACCCAGUCAUCGUAGACUGGUGGUAGUUCCAUUCGUUCCAUUUGAAAGCGAGAUACAAACUCUUGCAGCAUCUCAUUCUCCUUUUGCUUGAUUUUGAAGACGCCGGAUUUCCUUGUUGCUACCUUGAUGUCACUAGCAUGUGCCUUUAUGAAGGAAUCUGCCAGCAUGGUGAACGAAUCUAUCGAGUUUGGGGCUAGUUUGUGAUACCACAUCAUCGCCCCUUUCGAAAGCGUCUCUUUGAACUUUUUUAGUAGGACAGAUUCGAUCUCGUCGUCCUUUACUGCACAAGUGUAAGCAAUGAUGUGCUCGUUGGGGUCCGAGGUUCCGUUGUAUUUCGGAAGGUCGGGCAUUCAUCUUUGGAAUAGGUUUUGGGUCCGCUUCCUAUGGGAAUGGUUUUUGUACGAACUUCUUCAAAUUUACACCCUUCAAGAUCGGGGGUGCGCCCGGAAUUUGAUCGACCCUAGAAUUGUAGGUCUCCACCUUCUUGUCGUUGGCUUCUAGCUUCUUCUUUCCUGACUCGAUCCUCUUUGUGAGGUCCUCGAGCAUCUUUAUGAUGGCGGGGUCGGAUGCAGACCUGUUAUUGCUUGAUCUUUCUGGUGCCUACUGGGCUUGGGGAGCCGUUUCUGGUGCUACCGUGCUGGGAGUUUUCUGGUGGCUUUGUAGGUGAGCAAUUGUCGGCUGUUGUGCCUGUAAUAUUUCGAAAAUAACGUGAAGUCUAACCUCUCGUUCUUCCCUAGCUUGGGUUUUCUGAGCUUCUUGUUGGUCUCCUUGGCGCAAGCUCCUAUUAGUGUGGGAGCUUAUAUCGAUGUGUUGGGCAUCGCGUCAGACCACAUCUGCGGGGAUUGGCUCUGGCGCGUCCCCAAGGUUUAGUGGUGGUGCGCCAAUACCCGGAACAGAUACACCAUUCUCCCCAUGGUCCUCAAGACCGUUGUUUUCAUAUGCAUUCACUGAGUUAGACAUUUUAACCAAAAAUUAAAGGUUCUUGGACAAGAAAAAGCAUGAAAGAUAACUUGCAUUAUGUAGUAAACCAGAGAGAAAACAAUCACUAUUAUUUUUAGCCCCACGGUGGGCGCCAAACAGUUUACCUUGAAAAUGGUAAUAAUAAUUACAUUUGAUUUUAUGGUUCUAAAAAUAUGUGAUCUAUUUUUAUGCUAUUUUUAGGCAAUAGAUGCUAAGUGAAAGCUUAGAAAAAAAAUAAAAUAAUAGCUUGUAGAUAGUAUAAUAACCAAACCGAAUA